This 85-nucleotide transfer RNA is filed under the name Felis catus (domestic cat). It matches the Rfam family "tRNA". Rfam says of the family: Transfer RNA (tRNA) molecules are approximately 80 nucleotides in length. Their secondary structure includes four short double-helical elements and three loops (D, anti-codon, and T loops). Further hydrogen bonds mediate the characteristic L-shaped molecular structure. tRNAs have two regions of fundamental functional importance: the anti-codon, which is responsible for specific mRNA codon recognition, and the 3' end, to which the tRNAs corresponding amino acid is attached (by aminoacyl-tRNA synthetases). tRNAs cope with the degeneracy of the genetic code in two manners: having more than one tRNA (with a specific anti-codon) for a particular amino acid; and 'wobble' base-pairing, i.e. permitting non-standard base-pairing at the 3rd anti-codon position. Lineage: Eukaryota; Metazoa; Chordata; Mammalia; Carnivora; Felidae. The record is from Rfam by way of RNAcentral.
GCCUGGGUGGCUCAGUCGGUUGAGCGUCUGACUUCGGCUCAGGUCAUGAUCUCACAGCUCGUGAGUUCGAGCCCCACGUCGGGCU